GACGAACGCUGGCGGCGUGCUUAACACAUGCAAGUCGAACGGAAAGGCCCUGCUUUUGUGGGGUGCUCGAGUGGCGAACGGGUGAGUAACACGUGAGUAACCUGCCCUUGACUUUGGGAUAACUUCAGGAAACUGGGGCUAAUACCGGAUAGGAGCUCCUGCUGCAUGGUGGGGGUUGGAAAGUUUCGGCGGUUGGGGAUGGACUCGCGGCUUAUCAGCUUGUUGGUGGGGUAGUGGCUUACCAAGGUUUUGACGGGUAGCCGGCCUGGGAGGGUGACCGGCCCCAGUGGGCUAGGGGAGCGGCCCGGAGUCCAUCGGGGGGCAGCGGGGGGAAAUUUACGGCAAGGGGCCGAGGCCUGGUGCAAGAACGCCGGGUGGGGGAAGACGGCCUUUGGGUUAUAAACCGUUUGUGCGUGGGGGGGAGCGUGGGGGCGGGAAAUGGUUAAAAAACCACGGCCAAACACGGG
Molecule: ribosomal RNA, 467 nt
Filed under: uncultured bacterium
Lineage: Bacteria
Description: partial 16S ribosomal RNA
Rfam family: Bacterial small subunit ribosomal RNA
Source: RNAcentral